RNAcentral lists this long non-coding RNA (2612 nucleotides) under Sorghum bicolor (sorghum). RNAcentral describes it as "long non-coding RNA (SBIC_LNC015717)". The record is from RNAcentral. Lineage: Eukaryota; Viridiplantae; Streptophyta; Magnoliopsida; Poales; Poaceae.
AGUAAACUGUCAAGACUUAAAACUUACUUACUUUACCUUUCACCAUGGGACUUGUAACCGUCACUUCUGUCUUGAGUGGUUAAAAGAUAGAACAGUCCAGUCAAGUGCCAUGUCGCUUAUUCUUGAUCAGCUAUAGCUCUAGAGUUUUUGCAGAUUUUCAAAUAAAACUCAGAGAUUCCUUUGUAUGACUCUCUCAUAUCUCUCUUUUGUGGUAUUUCUAGAUCCUUACCAAGGCAGUGAUGGUAUAUGCCUUCUCUCAAGAUAUGUGGUAUUUGUGGUAUAAGGCAUAGUGACAUUGCCUUCUCUCUCACCCUACUCUAAUAAGGCUUUAAUAUCUGGAGCUCAUAGGUGGGAGAUAAAGUAUACAUACUUACAAGACAUUUAUUGUAUAGUCAAACCAUGGAUCCAAAGAAACAAAUCAAUAAGCUAAAUCAAGAUGUGCAUGUGUGGCGAAUGAAUAGUGUAUGGUGAUGAUGGUGAUAACAAUGGUGAAAGUCUAAUUCUAUUUUUGCUCUUUUGAGGGGAUACAUACCUUCCUUGCUUUUUGAAACUUUAUGAGGAGAAUGAGAUGCUCUUCUUUUCUUUUCUCUCAGAUGGGUAUCCUGUACCCCUAAUUCUACUGUCGGACACUUGUCCAUUUUUACCUCUCGUCUCACUUUUUUCUUUCUUUCGAGGUUCCGGGCACUUGCCCCUUUUUAUUUCCUCGUUUAUUUUUUUUCUUUUCUUCUCUCUUUUUUUUCUGAGCACUCAUCUCUUGAGAUAAUAUAGCAAGUGGUAGUAGCAAGAUAACUUGAGCAUUUAUUUCACAAGGGAAAACAGAAAUAUUUUUGGCUAUUCUCUCCCGGAUUAGGAGUAGAAUAUUUUUAGGUGAUUUUGGAGAUGGAAAUGGAUGGAUAUAUGUGGAUGGUACUUCCGGAGUAGAAGUAGCAUAUAUAUGAGUGAACGUGCAAGUGAAUCUUGAUUUAACCACAUGACAAGCUCCUAAGGGUCUACACAGCUUGACCACACUCAAUGCUCAUAAGCAGUAAAUAAUAAAUGUGUGGCUCAAAGUCUAGCAAGCAUAUAUAUAUGGCUGUGGUAGGAAUUUAAACUUUCAUCAUACAGGAACUCAUCAUGCAAUAUUUUAAAGAUUUUUCAAAGAUAAAAUUCUCCAGAAUUCUAGCAUCUCUAGGAAUAGAUAAACAGCAGCUCAACCUUCCCAUAUCAUAUCCGUUAACAACUUAGAUUUCAGAUCAAGUUUUCAUCCCACAAGUUUAGAUCUAGAGCAAGCUUUAAAUUAUAACAGUUAUGUCUAAACUUGAGAGAGAACUUCAAAUUUGCAAAUUAGGCAGAGCAACUAUUCAUCAUAUCCAUGCUAGAGUUUUAUUAUUAAGAUUCAUAGCAAACUUUAUUUAUUUAUUUAUUUAUUUAGCAAACUAAGAAAAGAUAUAUAUAUAUAAGCAUAAAAUCUUUAUUUGGUUUUUCAUAGUUUAUGUAUUUUAAUAUUCUAAUAUAAUAUAAGUAUAAAGAUAGGUAGAAAUACUUAGCGAGAUAAAUAGGGGCGCUCUCCCUCAAGCUGAAUUUUAACGUAAUUUCUCUUGAUGUAGCUAGCAGGAGGCAGAGGUGUAUUUGAAAGUCAGCAGCAUUCUGACAGCGAUUAGAAUAUCCUCCAUCUGCUAGUCUUCUUGAUUCUUAAAUUCUGUGGAGCUCAAAUAGACAACAAAGCUUGUGGAACUAAUUAAGUGUUACCAUAAAUAUCUAGCCUUCAUCACGUUGAGCUUCCUCAAUAAAUAUUACUCCCUGUUUUUAUAUUUUUAUUUUAUAAAGUAAAAAAGAAAUAUUUAUUUUAUUUUUAUGCCACCACAGUGAAGGUACUUAUGGGUUUUAUGCCACUCGUAUACUCACAUGGGGCUUAGUAUUUUUUAACAUUUUUAUUUUCUUUUCAAGAUAGCAUGAUUAACUAAAAAUCUAUUUAAGGAAAGUAAAUAAUUAAAGGGAAAAGGGAAUGCAGAAAGGAUAAAUAUGGAUAACUACCAAUCUUACCUUUCGGCGAGGGUUCAAUGUUUUAAGUCUUCUUGACAAGACUUCUCACCGUGUUCAUUCUUUAGGUGCGUCAUUUGAUUUAGGUGCGGACCUUGAUGUCUGCACCUUUUAAUACGAUGUCACCCAUGUUCUUCGUUUGCCCAGCAAUUCGAAGUGCGGUGUUGGCAGUGUCCUGCUCAGUGUGUUUGUGCUCGUAGUGUACCUGCUCAUAGAGACAAGGCAGAGAUCAAGUGCAUGGGCCCUGUUGGUGGAAAACACCAACAGAACCAAAAGUGUAUUUGUUCUUCUCUAACCUUAAGCAUAGUGAGCAAGACAUGUUGAUGGAUGAUAAGUUCAUGAGUGUAGCACUUAUAACAUUUGUCAGAUCAAAUCGCUCAACCUUAUGGAAAGAUAAUCUAUCUAUGUAUAUGUCUUUUUCUUUAUAUCUCUCAAUGAUUGAAUGUGUAACAUUUUAGCUCAUAUGAUUAGGAGUGUGGGAUCAUGGAGGUAGUACUAAGAACAAGGAUUAAAGGACUAAACAUGUUGAAUCAGUUGGGUUGGUUAAUCUAGAGUUGUAAAUCAUACACGUUUGUCUCUUUUAUUUAUAUGAA